UUAUGCGCAAUCGCGCUUGUUCCUCCACUUGGAAGCGUGAUAGUGGAAAAGGUCUGCAUGUUGAUAUGGGCGAACAUAGCCCCAGAAUUCAAACCGCAAUGAAAAAACAAGAUGACUUUAGUUCCUCUGGCCAAGGCAAUACAUUGGAUCUCCGGAAUGAUCAAGUUGGAGAAAACAUGGAAUUGAAUGUUGGUAUGGAUACGAGGGUGGCUGAAUCCUUUCCUCGGGCAGCGGCGCAUGGCCCUAACGCGCCUCGGGCGCCAUGAAAGCAAUAGCAUGGAAUUGUCGAGGUAUGGGCCGAGACCUUGGCAAUGAUCGAAUGUUGUUCCUGGCCAAUCUGGUUCGCUCUACAAAAGCUCAGAGGGGCUUCAGGAGGGCUCUGGCUUAUGUGGAAUGACGAUCUUAAGGUUUCUGUUCGUAGUUCUUCCUUCCACUUUAUCUUAGCGGAUGUAGUUCAUCUAGCCUCGGGGGUUCACUUUUGUUUGGUUUGUAUAUAUGGUGACCCCUACCAUAGGCAGACUAGUGACAUUUGGAAUCAGAUCUCCACUUUUGUGUAUGAUAACUUUGGCAAACCCAUGAUCUGUAUGGGUGAUCUUAACGAUAUUUUGUAUGA
Molecule: long non-coding RNA, 613 nt
Organism: Triticum aestivum (bread wheat)
Lineage: Eukaryota; Viridiplantae; Streptophyta; Magnoliopsida; Poales; Poaceae
Exons: 2
Source: RefSeq, a predicted model, not a curated record